This 1155-nucleotide ribosomal RNA is filed under the name Triticum aestivum (bread wheat). Its description in RNAcentral is "partial small subunit ribosomal RNA". The record is from RNAcentral. Lineage: Eukaryota; Viridiplantae; Streptophyta; Magnoliopsida; Poales; Poaceae.
AUGCUCCGGCUCCGUCGCGGCGUCCUCACCCAGGUCCUCUCGUCUCUCUCCGCCUCUCCCGUAUCCCCUCUCCACCGCCUCAUCUCCGCCGCCGCGCCCGCCAUCUCCCCAAACCCUAGCUUCCCCGUGGAGGAGUACCUCGUCUCCACCUGCGGCCUCACCCGACCACAGGCCCUCAAGGCCUCCGCCAAGCUCUCCCACCUCAAGUCCCCCGCCAAUCCCGACGCCGUGCUCGCCUUCCUCGCCGGCCUCGGCCUCUCUGACGCCGAUGUCGCCGCCCUCGUCGCCAAGGACCCGCAGUUCCUCUGCGCCAGCGUGGAGAGAACCCUGGCGCCCGUCGUCGCCGGGCUCUCUGGCCUCGGCUUAUCGCGUUCCGACAUCGCGCGCCUCGCCUCGCUCUCCCGGUACAGAUUCCGCUGUAGAUCCAUCGUCUCCAAGCUGCAGUACUACAUGCCUUUCUUUGGGUCCUUUGAGAAUCUCCUCCGAGCCCUCAAGAGGAACUUCUACCUUCACUCGGCUGACCUCGAUGAUGUGGUCAAGCCCAACGUCGCGUUGCUGCAGGAGUGCGGGCUAGGUGCUUGUGAUAUUGUCAAGCUAUGCAUCAGUCAACCAUGGCUUCUCACCGCCAACCUGGAGCGUGUCCAGGCGAUGGUGGAAUGCGCUGAAAACAUAGGUGUGCCCCGUGCUUCUGGGAUGUUCAGGCACGCGCUGCAUGCUGUUGCAUUUCUCAGCGAGGACAAGAUCGCAGCCAGGGUGAAGUACUUGAAGAACACCUUCAGGUGGACGGAUGCUGAGGUAGGCAUGGCUGUUUCUAAGUCUCCAAUGGUGCUGACGAGGUCCAAGGAGUCGCUGCAGCGCAGGUCUGACUUCCUCAUCUCCGAGGUGGGCUUGGAACCGGUGUACAUUGCUCAACGGUCGGAAAUAAUCGGUCACAGCCUAGAGGGCCGGCUCAGGCCCCGGUACUAUGCUGUGAAGUUUCUCAAGGAAAAUGGAUUGCUCAAGCGUGACCCAAACUACAGUACCGUUUUCAAGGUGAGUGAGAAGGCAUUCAGGAAGAAGUUCAUAUUCCCUCACAAGGAGGCUGCACUGGACCUGGCAGAAGACUAUGAUGCCGCUUGCAAGGGGGAACUGCCGACUAAUUUCAGAUUCACAUGA